AGAUGCCAGUGAUUCAGAUCCCUGCACAACAGAAAUACAACAAUAACUAAGAAUGACAGAAUAUACAGAAGAUAACAGUAAUAAAUAAUAACUUUUUUUGUGUCUCACCAUCUGUGGUCUAAUGGCGCAAUCAUUAUUGCCUAUGGCACGCACAACUGGCACAUGCUUUAUGACAGAUAUAAAAUUGUUCUAUGGAUAUUACAAGCCAAUCCGCCACCUCACAAACUUAGCAAGGAAUUCAAUAAUUUACCGUAUUAAGGAAA
RNAcentral lists this unclassified non-coding RNA (263 nucleotides) under Hevea brasiliensis (rubber tree). The record is from RNAcentral. Lineage: Eukaryota; Viridiplantae; Streptophyta; Magnoliopsida; Malpighiales; Euphorbiaceae.